GCUGGUUCUCUAGGGAGCAUGUGCACGCCUUGUCAUCUUUAUAUCUCCACCUGUGCACUUUUGUAGACCUUUCAGGUCUAUGUUUCUUCAUUUACCCCAAUGUAUGUUAAUAGAAUGUUGUGCCUAUAUAAUAUAUACAACUUUCAGCAACGGAUCUCUUGGCUCUCGCAUCGAUGAAGAACGCAGCGAAAUGCGAUAAGUAAUGUGAAUUGCAGAAUUCAGUGAAUCAUCGAAUCUUUGAACGCACCUUGCGCUCCUUGGUAUUCCGAGGAGCAUGCCUGUUUGAGUGUCAUUAAUAUAUAUAUCAAACUUCUCUUAUUGAGUGGUUUGGAUGUGGGGGUUUGCUGGCCUUUUUAAAAGGUUCAGCUCUCCUGAAAUGCAUUAGCAGAACAAACCUGUUCAUCGGUGUGAUAACUAUCUACGCUAUUGAAUGUGAGGGGCAGUUCAGCUUUCUAACAGUCCUUGGACAAUUCAUCAUUAAUGUGACCUCAAAUCAGGUAGGACUACCCGCUGAACUUAAGCAUAUCAAUAAGCGGAGGAA
This 541-nucleotide ribosomal RNA is filed under the name uncultured Cortinarius. RNAcentral's name for it is "eukaryotic LSU rRNA". The stretch from base 139 to 292 matches the Rfam family "5.8S ribosomal RNA". The record is from RNAcentral. Lineage: Eukaryota; Fungi; Basidiomycota; Agaricomycetes; Agaricales; Cortinariaceae.